UACGAAGGGGGCUAGCGUUGCUCGGAAUCACUGGGCGUAAAGCGCACGUAGGCGGUUUGCUAAGUCAGGGGUGAAAUCCUGGAGCUCAACUCCAGAACUGCCUUUGAUACUGGCGGACUUGAGUCCGGGAGAGGUGAGUGGAACUGCGAGUGUAGAGGUGAAAUUCGUAGAUAUUCGCAAGAACACCAGUGGCGAAGGCGGCUGUCUGGUCCGGUUCUGACGCUGAGGCGCGAAAGCGUGGGGAGCAAACAGG
This 253-nucleotide ribosomal RNA is filed under the name uncultured bacterium. RNAcentral describes it as "partial 16S ribosomal RNA". It matches the Rfam family "Bacterial small subunit ribosomal RNA", at positions 524 to 776 of the family's 1533-position model. The record is from RNAcentral.